Molecule: unclassified non-coding RNA, 382 nt
Filed under: uncultured fungus
Lineage: Eukaryota; Fungi
Description: partial contains small subunit ribosomal RNA, internal transcribed spacer 1, and 5.8S ribosomal RNA
Rfam family: Eukaryotic small subunit ribosomal RNA (bases 1-73)
Source: RNAcentral
ACAAACUUGGUCAUUUAGAGGAAGUAAAAGUCGUAACAAGGUUUCCGUAGGUGAACCUGCGGAAGGAUCAUUAAUUAUUUUACAAGUGAAUUUCCCUUGGAGGGUUUGAUAAGUGUUCCUUUAGGGGGGGUGCUUUGAAAAUCUUGAAAAAUUUGGGGAAAUUCCUUUAGAAUUUGUGAAAAAACACUUUUUUCUCUUGUAAAAGAAAAAAAAAGAAUGUUGACAUGAAAAAAGCUUUAGAGCUUUUUUUUUGAAACUUUUUAAAUCAAGAAUCUUUAAAAAAUUUGGUAUUUCAUUUUUACAAAUUGUAAGAAUUUUGAAAUUAAAAAAAACCACUUUUGACAACGGAUCUCUUGGUUCUCGCAUCGAUGAAGAACGCAGC